Molecule: transfer RNA, 72 nt
Filed under: Schistocerca americana (American grasshopper)
Lineage: Eukaryota; Metazoa; Arthropoda; Insecta; Orthoptera; Acrididae
Description: tRNA-Asp
Rfam family: tRNA
About the family: Transfer RNA (tRNA) molecules are approximately 80 nucleotides in length. Their secondary structure includes four short double-helical elements and three loops (D, anti-codon, and T loops).
Source: RNAcentral
UCCUCGGUAGUAUAGUGGUUAGUAUCCCCGCCUGUCACGCGGGAGACCGGGGUUGGAUUCCCCGCCGGGGAG